This 2276-nucleotide ribosomal RNA is filed under the name Salmonella enterica subsp. enterica serovar Bovismorbificans. RNAcentral's name for it is "partial 23S ribosomal RNA". It matches the Rfam family "Bacterial large subunit ribosomal RNA", at positions 618 to 2874 of the family's 2925-position model. The record is from RNAcentral. Lineage: Bacteria; Pseudomonadati; Pseudomonadota; Gammaproteobacteria; Enterobacterales; Enterobacteriaceae.
GGUCAGCGACUUAUAUUCUGUAGCAAGGUUAACCGAAUAGGGGAGCCGGAGGGAAACCGAGUCUUAAUUGGGCGUUAAGUUGCAGGGUAUAGACCCGAAACCCGGUGAUCUAGCCAUGGGCAGGUUGAAGGUUGGGUAACACUAACUGGAGGACCGAACCGACUAAUGUUGAAAAAUUAGCGGAUGACCUGUGGCUGGGGGUGAAAGGCCAAUCAAACCGGGAGAUAGCUGGUUCUCCCCGAAAGCUAUUUAGGUAGCGCCUCGUGAAUUCAUCUCCGGGGGUAGAGCACUGUUUCGGCUAGGGGGCCAUCCCGGCUUACCAACCCGAUGCAAACUGCGAAUACCGGAGAAUGUUAUCACGGGAGACACACGGCGGGUGCUAACGUCCGUCGUGAAGAGGGAAACAACCCAGACCGCCAGCUAAGGUCCCAAAGUCAUGGUUAAGUGGGAAACGAUGUGGGAAGGCCCAGACAGCCAGGAUGUUGGCUUAGAAGCAGCCAUCAUUUAAAGAAAGCGUAAUAGCUCACUGGUCGAGUCGGCCUGCGCGGAAGAUGUAACGGGGCUAAACCAUGCACCGAAGCUGCGGCAGCGACACUCAGGUGUUGUUGGGUAGGGGAGCGUUCUGUAAGCCUGUGAAGGUGGCCUGUGAGGGUUGCUGGAGGUAUCAGAAGUGCGAAUGCUGACAUAAGUAACGAUAAAGCGGGUGAAAAGCCCGCUCGCCGGAAGACCAAGGGUUCCUGUCCAACGUUAAUCGGGGCAGGGUGAGUCGACCCCUAAGGCGAGGCCGAAAGGCGUAGUCGAUGGGAAACGGGUUAAUAUUCCCGUACUUGGUGUUACUGCGAAGGGGGGACGGAGAAGGCUAUGUUGGCCGGGCGACGGUUGUCCCGGUUUAAGCGUGUAGGCUGGUUUUCCAGGCAAAUCCGGAAAAUCAAGGCUGAGGCGUGACGACGAGGCACUACGGUGCUGAAGCAACAAAUGCCCUGCUUCCAGGAAAAGCCUCUAAGCAUCAGGUAACAUCAAAUCGUACCCCAAACCGACACAGGUGGUCAGGUAGAGAAUACCAAGGCGCUUGAGAGAACUCGGGUGAAGGAACUAGGCAAAAUGGUGCCGUAACUUCGGGAGAAGGCACGCUGACACGUAGGUGAAGUGAUUUACUCAUGGAGCUGAAGUCAGUCGAAGAUACCAGCUGGCUGCAACUGUUUAUUAAAAACACAGCACUGUGCAAACACGAAAGUGGACGUAUACGGUGUGACGCCUGCCCGGUGCCGGAAGGUUAAUUGAUGGGGUCAGCGCAAGCGAAGCUCCUGAUCGAAGCCCCGGUAAACGGCGGCCGUAACUAUAACGGUCCUAAGGUAGCGAAAUUCCUUGUCGGGUAAGUUCCGACCUGCACGAAUGGCGUAAUGAUGGCCAGGCUGUCUCCACCCGAGACUCAGUGAAAUUGAACUCGCUGUGAAGAUGCAGUGUACCCGCGGCAAGACGGAAAGACCCCGUGAACCUUUACUAUAGCUUGACACUGAACAUUGAGCCUUGAUGUGUAGGAUAGGUGGGAGGCUUUGAAGUGUGGACGCCAGUCUGCAUGGAGCCGACCUUGAAAUACCACCCUUUAAUGUUUGAUGUUCUAACGUGGACCCGUAAUCCGGGUUGCGGACAGUGUCUGGUGGGUAGUUUGACUGGGGCGGUCUCCUCCUAAAGAGUAACGGAGGAGCACGAAGGUUGGCUAAUCCUGGUCGGACAUCAGGAGGUUAGUGCAAUGGCAUAAGCCAGCUUGACUGCGAGCGUGACGGCGCGAGCAGGUGCGAAAGCAGGUCAUAGUGAUCCGGUGGUUCUGAAUGGAAGGGCCAUCGCUCAACGGAUAAAAGGUACUCCGGGGAUAACAGGCUGAUACCGCCCAAGAGUUCAUAUCGACGGCGGUGUUUGGCACCUCGAUGUCGGCUCAUCACAUCCUGGGGCUGAAGUAGGUCCCAAGGGUAUGGCUGUUCGCCAUUUAAAGUGGUACGCGAGCUGGGUUUAGAACGUCGUGAGACAGUUCGGUCCCUAUCUGCCGUGGGCGCUGGAGAACUGAGGGGGGCUGCUCCUAGUACGAGAGGACCGGAGUGGACGCAUCACUGGUGUUCGGGUUGUCAUGCCAAUGGCACUGCCCGGUAGCUAAAUGCGGAAGAGAUAAGUGCUGAAAGCAUCUAAGCACGAAACUUGCCCCGAGAUGAGUUCUCCCUGAGACUUUAGGUCUCCUGAAGGAACGUUGAAGACGACGACGUUGAUAGGCCGGGUGUGUAAGC